Molecule: transfer RNA, 69 nt
Filed under: Pinus taeda (loblolly pine)
Lineage: Eukaryota; Viridiplantae; Streptophyta; Pinopsida; Pinales; Pinaceae
Description: tRNA-Glu
Source: RNAcentral
AAAGUCCACAGGUAAGGGCCCCUACUUCUUCAUAGGGGUCACUCACUAUUCAUAUGGUGAGGGAUUUUU